This is a non-coding RNA of Camelina sativa (false flax), 263 nucleotides long. NCBI's taxonomy places the organism in Eukaryota, Viridiplantae, Streptophyta, Magnoliopsida, Brassicales, Brassicaceae. The record is from RefSeq and is a predicted model, not a curated record.
ACAGAUUCAAGACGAAAUGAGGAAUUGGGAAGAGAAGUACGUAUUGGUGAGGUUUUCAUCAAGGCACAUACAAAGCCUGAUGGGACAUAUGUUGAUCGGAAGUCAGAGAAGAUAGCAGAAACAUAUGAAAAGAAUGUGCAAGAGAGGUUGUCUCAGCUCGAGGAAGAUCCUUCUGCCAUCUCAGAUGGUUAUUCACGGUCCCGGGAGCUAACAACUGAAGAAUAUACAUAAAUCUUUCUUCAGUCCACUGAGAAGGAUUCAAG